CAGCAAGUGGCGAACGGGUGAGUAAUACAUCGGAACAUGUCCAGUAGUGGGGGAUAGCCCGGCGAAAGCCGGAUUAAUACCGCAUACGAUCUUUGGAUGAAAGCGGGGGAUCGCAAGACCUCGCGCUAUUGGGGUGGCCGAUGGCGGAUUAGCUAGUUGGUGGGGUAAAGGCCCACCAAGGCGACGAUCCGUAGCUGGUCUGAGAGGACGACCAGCCACACUGGGACUGAGACACGGCCCAGACUCCUACGGGAGGCAGCAGUGGGGAAUUUUGGACAAUGGGCGAAAGCCUGAUCCAGCAAUGCCGCGUGUGUGAAGAAGGCCUUCGGGUUGUAAAGCACUUUUGUCCGGAAAGAAAUCCUGAUGGCUAAUAUCCGUCGGGGAUGACGGUACCGGAAGAAUAAGCACCGGCUAACUACGUGCCAGCAGCCGCGGUAAUACGUAGGGUGCGAGCGUUAAUCGGAAUUACUGGGCGUAAAGCGUGCGCAGGCGGUGAUGUAAGACCGAUGUGAAAUCCCCGGGCUUAACCUGGGAACUGCAUUGGUGACUGCAUCGCUGGAGUAUGGCAGAGGGGGGUAGAAUUCCACGUGUAGCAGUGAAAUGCGUAGAGAUGUGGAGGAAUACCGAUGGCGAAGGCAGCCCCCUGGGCCAAUACUGACGCUCAUGCACGAAAGCGUGGGGAGCAAACAGGAUUAGAUACCCUGGUAGUCCACGCCCUAAACGAUGUCAACUGGUUGUCGGGCCUUCAUUGGCUUGGUAACGUAGCUAACGCGUGAAGUUGACCGCCUGGGGAGUACGGUCGCAAGAUUAAAACUCAAAGGAAUUGACGGGGACCCGCACAAGCGGUGGAUGAUGUGGAUUAAUUCGAUGCAACGCGAAAAACCUUACCUACCCUUGACAUGUACGGAAUUCUGCCGAGAGGUGGAAGUGCCCGAAAGGGAGCCGUAACACAGGUGCUGCAUGGC
This 965-nucleotide ribosomal RNA is filed under the name Martinezella miluonensis. RNAcentral's name for it is "bacterial SSU rRNA". It matches the Rfam family "Bacterial small subunit ribosomal RNA", at positions 89 to 1049 of the family's 1533-position model. Lineage: Bacteria; Pseudomonadati; Pseudomonadota; Alphaproteobacteria; Hyphomicrobiales; Rhizobiaceae. The record is from RNAcentral.